RNAcentral lists this ribosomal RNA (332 nucleotides) under Sahyadrimetrus mathewi. RNAcentral's name for it is "Scorpionoidea gen. 2 sp. 1 SFL-2020 partial small subunit ribosomal RNA". The record is from RNAcentral. Lineage: Eukaryota; Metazoa; Arthropoda; Arachnida; Scorpiones; Scorpionidae.
UAAUAUAUUAGAAAUUAGGUAGUAAUGAUGUUUCUGAAACCUAAAGAACUUGGCGGUAUUUUAGAUAAUUGGAGGAACUUGUUAUUUAAUUGAAAUUCCACAGCACAUCUUCCCUUAUUUUUGUUUGUAUAUCGUUGUUUCAAGACAACAUUUCAAAGUGUAGUCGAGAUUAAAAUUUUUUAUCAUAUCAAAUCAAGGUGCAGCAUAGUAAGGUUAUAAUGAGUUACAAUAUAGUUUAUGUAAACGAAAAAGGAUAUGAAAAGUAAUUAGAAGGUGGAUUCAAAAGUAAUAAAAAAUUAAAAAGUUUUUAUGGAUUAUAAUUUAAGAUAUGC